Molecule: ribosomal RNA, 1409 nt
Filed under: Parathemisto japonica
Lineage: Eukaryota; Metazoa; Arthropoda; Malacostraca; Amphipoda; Hyperiidae
Description: bacterial SSU rRNA
Rfam family: Eukaryotic small subunit ribosomal RNA
Source: RNAcentral
AUGUUGCUGCGGUUAAAAGGCUCGCAGUUGAAUGUCGGUUAAUAUACGCGUAGAGGUGCCGGGACGUUGCGAGCUUUGUUGCCUCGUGCAUCAUUGUGAGCCGUCUCUCCAAGUGCAUCUCUCGCGGGCUAACGAUUAGAUUGACGGCACAGAGUGUUGCUCGUGCACGCAAGUGUACGUGGCUUCGCUCACACGUGUCGUCGGUUGACACCUUGAGUAAAUCAGAGUGCUUAAAGCAGUCGUUGAAACACUACGGCUGCAACUUACCCUCUCGCGAGGCUAAAGUCGUAUGUCUAUGGUGACGUCCCAAGACGUUUGGACAUUGUCUUUGCUUUGCAUGGUACGUCGGAAGACGCCGUGUGAGUUGGUUGCGCUUACGGUAAGACAUACCUUCUGUGUGUGCGCGUGCACCACCAAGCACGGAAUGAAUUGACAGGGAUGGCUCGAAGGCAUUGGUAUUGCGGGGCGAGAGGUGAAAUUCUAUGACCCCCGCAAGACUUCCCGAAGCGAAAGCGUCUGCCUAGGACGUCUUCAUUAAUCAUGAACGAAAGUUGAAGGAUCGAAGGCGAUCAGAUACCGCCCUAGUUGCAACCGUAAACGAUAUCAACCAUCAAUCCGUCAAAGCGUUCCCAUGAGUCUUCGGAGGCGGGCUUCGCGGCCCUCUUCGGGGACAAAGUGUAAGCGCUUGAUGGGCAGCUCUUCUAUCACGGGAAACCAGAGUGUUUCGGUUCCGGGGGGAGUCUGGUUGCAAAGCUGAAACUUAAAGGAAUUGACGGAAAGGCACCACCAGGCGUGGAGCUUGCGGCUCAAUUUGACUCAACACGGGAAAUCUCACCAGACCCGAACAUCUCUAACGAUUGACAGAUUGAAAGCUCUUUCUUAAUGAAGUGGAUGGUGGUGCAUGGCCGUUCUUAGUUGGUGGAGUGAUCUGUCUGGUUAAUUCCGAUAACGAACGAGACUCUCCCCUGCUAACGGACCUUAGUGUUGUUCUAGACGGUGUGAUUCGGAGCAAGAGUCCAUGGGCGUAAGCCCCGGUCUCGGACGAUGUCCACUGAUCCUUGGUGCGUUGGUGUUCCGUGUGCCAUCGGAGAGUUGAGUGUUCGCAUUCUUCGCCUCUGUGGAUUUCUCGGUUCAUCGACAAAGCGCCUCGGAGUACGUUUCUUCUUAGAGGGAUUGACGACUUAUAAGUCGUAAGAAACAGGGAGCAAUAACAGGUCUGUGAUGCCCUUAGAUGUUCUGGGCUGCACGCGUGUUACAAUGCCGGUAUCAACGGGUUAUUACACUUUUAGUGGCCUACUCCGAAAGGAGUGGGUAAACCUUUGAAAUACCAACUGCGUCUGUCUUCAUUGACAGUGCAAUUACGGCAUGCUUGGGACUGGGGAUUGCAAUUAUUCCCCACAAACUAGGAA